RNAcentral lists this ribosomal RNA (253 nucleotides) under uncultured bacterium. Its description in RNAcentral is "partial 16S ribosomal RNA". It matches the Rfam family "Bacterial small subunit ribosomal RNA", at positions 524 to 776 of the family's 1533-position model. The record is from RNAcentral.
UACGGGGGGGGCAAGCGUUGUUCGGAAUUACUGGGCGUAAAGGGCUCGUAGGCGGCCAACUAAGUCGGACGUGAAAUCCCUCAGCUUAACUGGGGAACUGCGUCCGAUACUGGAUGGCUUGGAUUCGGGAGAGGGAUGCGGAAUUCCAGGUGUAGCGGUGAAAUGCGUAGAUAUCGAGAGGAACACCUGCGGCGAAGGCGGGUUGCUGGGCUGAUACUGACGCUGAGGCGCGAAAGCCAGGGGAGCGAACGGG